Molecule: ribosomal RNA, 502 nt
Filed under: uncultured Glomeromycotina
Lineage: Eukaryota; Fungi; Glomeromycota
Description: partial small subunit ribosomal RNA
Rfam family: Eukaryotic small subunit ribosomal RNA
Source: RNAcentral
CCAAUAGCGUGUAUUAAAGUUGUUGCAGUUAAAAAGCUCGUAGUUGAACUUCGGGGUUCACCCAUUGGUCAGGCUUAAUUGUCUGUACUGGUGAGAUGAAUCUCUACCUUCUGAGGAACUUUCAUGCCAUUUAUUUGGUGUGAUGGGAAAUCAGGACUGUUACUUUGAAAAAAUUAGAGUGUUUAAAGCAGGCUAACGUCUGAAUACAUUAGCAUGGAAUAAUGAAAUAGGACGGAUUGAUUCUAUUUCGUUGGUUUCUAGGAUCACCGUAAUGAUUAAUAGGGAUAGUUGGGGGCAUUAGUAUUCAAUUGUCAGAGGUGAAAUUCUUGGAUUUAUUGAAGACUAACUACUGCGAAAGCAUUUGCCAAGGAUGUUUUCAUUAAUCAGGAACGAAAGUUAGGGGAUCGAAGACGAUCAGAUACCGUCGUAGUCUUAACCAUAAACUAUGCCGACUAGGGAUCGGACGAAGUUAAUUUUAUAAUGACGCGUUCGGCACCUUACG